This 497-nucleotide ribosomal RNA is filed under the name uncultured bacterium. Its description in RNAcentral is "partial 16S ribosomal RNA". It matches the Rfam family "Bacterial small subunit ribosomal RNA", at positions 28 to 507 of the family's 1533-position model. The record is from RNAcentral.
GAUGAACGCUGGCGGCGUGCCUAAUACAUGCAAGUCGAGCGAACAGACGAGGAGCUUGCUCCGCUGACGUGAGCCGCACGCGUGUGUGUCGCGCGUGUAUAACCUACCUAUAUUACUGGUAUAACUGCGGGAAUGCGGAGCUUAUAGGAUAUGAUAUAUUGAACCACAGGGUUGAAUAGUGAAAUACGGGUUUGCGGUCAGUUCGCGAUGUAUCCGCGCCGCAUUAGCGAGUUGGUAAGUUAACGGUUUAACAAGGCAACGAUGCGUAGCAGAACUGAGAGGGUGAUCGGCCACACUGGAACGGAGACACGGACCAGAAUCCUAAGGGAGGCAGCAGUAGGGAAUGUUACGCAAUGGGCGAAAGUCUGACGGAGCAACGCCGCGUGAGUGAUGAAGGUCUCGGGAUCGUAAAACUCUGUUAUUAGGGAAGAACAAAUGUGUAAGUAACUAUGCACGUCUUGACGGUACCUAAUAAGAAAGCCACGGCUAACUACGUG